AAAUAGUUUAAUGUUCGAUUAUUUAUGGGUUGAUUUUAUCGACGAAUAUUUGCUGUAAAUAAUCUAACGAUCGUCGUUACUACUGACUUGUGUGUAACCGGUGUAUGUUUAUAUUUCCUGACUGUUUAGAGUCCGAAAUCAUAAUUAAACUAGCAAGAUGAUGG
Long non-coding RNA from Daphnia pulicaria, 164 nucleotides. RefSeq lists it as uncharacterized. The transcript has 3 exons. The record is from RefSeq and is a predicted model, not a curated record. Lineage: Eukaryota; Metazoa; Arthropoda; Branchiopoda; Diplostraca; Daphniidae.